RNAcentral lists this non-coding RNA (69 nucleotides) under Gemmiger sp. An120. The record is from RNAcentral. Lineage: Bacteria; Bacillati; Bacillota; Clostridia; Eubacteriales; Oscillospiraceae.
AGCCGAAACGGCCCCACCCGGGGCCGUCUGCCGGGAAUGGCCGUCCGGCACUGACGAUGGCAGGCCAGC